RNAcentral lists this ribosomal RNA (182 nucleotides) under uncultured bacterium. RNAcentral's name for it is "partial 16S ribosomal RNA". It matches the Rfam family "Bacterial small subunit ribosomal RNA", at positions 1319 to 1500 of the family's 1533-position model. The record is from RNAcentral.
CAUGAAGCCGGAAUUGCUAGUAAUGGCAGGUCAGCAUACUGCCGUGAAUACGUUCCCGGGCCCUUGUACACACCGCCCGUCACACCAUGAGAGUUGGGAAUACCCGAAGCCUGUGAGCUAACGUUAAGAGGCAGCAGUCGAAGGUAGAAUCAAUGAUUGGGGUGAAGUCGUAACAAGGUAUC